CAUGAAUAUUCCAUGACAUCGUAACAGCUUGGCUUCGUUUGCCCUUUAUUUUAUCUUAACACAGUAUAGUGUGUUAACAUAAAAUAAAGGGCAAACGAAGCCAAGCUGUUACGAUGUCAUGGAAUGUUCAUG
This is a non-coding RNA of Podarcis lilfordi (Lilford's wall lizard), 132 nucleotides long. The record is from the annotation of a GenBank genome assembly. NCBI's taxonomy places the organism in Eukaryota, Metazoa, Chordata, Lepidosauria, Squamata, Lacertidae.